Molecule: ribosomal RNA, 253 nt
Filed under: uncultured bacterium
Lineage: Bacteria
Description: partial 16S ribosomal RNA
Rfam family: Bacterial small subunit ribosomal RNA
Source: RNAcentral
UACGGGGGGGCAAGCGUUGUUCGGAAUUACUGGGCGUAAAGGGCUCGUAGGCGGCCAACUAAGUCGGACGUGAAAUCCCCAGGCUCAACCUGGGAACUGCGUCCGAUACUGGAUGGCUUGAAUUCGGGAGAGGGAUGCAGAAUUCCAGGUGUAGCGGUGAAAUGCGUAGAUAUCUGGAGGAAUACCGGUGGCGAAGGCGGCAUCCUGGACCGACAUUGACGCUGAGGAGCGAAAGCUAGGGGAGCAAACGGGG